UGAGGGCUCUGGGUCCACCUCCCACCCGUGUUUAUUUUACCUUGUUGCUUCGGCGGGCCCGCCUUAACUGGCCGCCGGGGGGCUUACGCCCCCGGGCCCGCGCCCGCCGAAGACACCCUCGAACUCUGUCUGAAGAUUGAAGUCUGAGUGAAAAUAUAAAUUAUUUAAAACUUUCAACAACGGAUCUCUUGGUUCCGGCAUCGAUGAAGAACGCAGCGAAAUGCGAUACGUAAUGUGAAUUGCAAAUUCAGUGAAUCAUCGAGUCUUUGAACGCACAUUGCGCCCCCUGGUAUUCCGGGGGGCAUGCCUGUCCGAGCGUCAUUGCUGCCCUCAAGCCCGGCUUGUGUGUUGGGCCCCGUCCCCCGAUCUCCGGGGGACGGGCCCGAAAGGCAGCGGCGGCACCGCGUCCGGUCCUCGAGCGUAUGGGGCUUUGUCACCCGCUCUGUAGGCCCGGCCGGCGCUUGCCGAUCAACCCAAAUUUUUAUCCAGGUUGACCUCGGAUCAGGUAGGGAUACCCGCUGAACUUAAGCAUAUCAAUAAGCGGAGGGAAAAGAAA
RNAcentral lists this ribosomal RNA (556 nucleotides) under Penicillium crustosum. RNAcentral's name for it is "eukaryotic LSU rRNA". The stretch from base 169 to 321 matches the Rfam family "5.8S ribosomal RNA". The record is from RNAcentral. Lineage: Eukaryota; Fungi; Ascomycota; Eurotiomycetes; Eurotiales; Aspergillaceae.